RNAcentral lists this long non-coding RNA (1860 nucleotides) under Homo sapiens (human). RNAcentral's name for it is "HSALNT0406517". Lineage: Eukaryota; Metazoa; Chordata; Mammalia; Primates; Hominidae. The record is from RNAcentral.
CUUUCCAUGAGUGACUAUUUUUCUCUAGGUUGGGAUCGUUCUCUUUUCCAUUCAUUACUUCUUUUCUCUUGUAUAGCAUAUUUGCCUAGUUGUGCUUUUAUUGUUUUCAUAUUGUUUAUGCCUGCACCAUUCUGACAGCCCGAAGGAACGUCUCUGGGUGGAGAAUGAGGAAGUCUCUCUUCCCUGAGAUUUCAUCAGAAGUCCUGCUUUAGGGUACCCUUCUCCAGGGUUGAGAGUAUGGGUACUGCUCAGUAGGAGAUUCCCCUGGGAUCUUGACUGCUCCUGUAAUUCAGAGUAUUGUCUUAGAGACUUUGCUUCCAUCAGAUGGAUUCUGCCGAUGCUUCAGGUUCCCUGGUUCACCCGCUUCUCUGAGCAUCAGUCUCCGUUGUUUUGUUGUGAGACAGAAGAAGGAGAAGGAGGAGGAAGAGAAGGAUGAGGAGGAAAGGAGGAGGAAGAGGAGCAGAAGGAGGAAGGGGAGGGGCAGAACAACCAUCACCAUGGCCAUCCCCCGCCAGAGCACCCACCCCACUUGCUUUCUUCUCCUCUUGGUGUCUGUGAGAAAGCCCAGGAUUUUGUCACCUCCCAGCCCAGUCUCUGGGACGAGGAGCCUCGGUGGCAUGGAACUUCCACAGGGACAGUUCAGUCGGCUGCCUCACUGGGGACUUCCAUCCUGGCAGUGCCUGGGCUCCUCAGGAAGACAGUGGUCAGUUGAGUCCUUGCCAAGCCAGGCUGGCUUCGAGGAGGAGUGAUUGAGGCGAUUGUUUUCAGUGGCUUUGCGACAAGAUCCCACAUUCAGCCUGAUAAUGCAGACUCUUUCAAGCCAUCUUCCUGGCCCCACGGACAGCCCUGUGGACUUUAAGCUCCAGUGCCAGAUGGAAAGACAACAGCCUUGGGAGACUGCUUAACAAGCUCCCCAAAGGGUCAGAGCCUGGAAACAAUGUUCCUUCAAUCCUUUGCCAGCAGGGAUCUUCUUUAGUUUCUGCCAAUAAGGGCCACUGGUGUAAAAUUUGGAAACCAGACAAAGAGAAGCUGACUUUUGGCAAUGGCGUGAGACAUGGGCAUCAAUAAAGGCUGGGUGAGCUCUGCCAGUGGCUUUCAGGCGUGAGUCAUCUGUUCACACAGUUGAGAUCUGCAGUGGCUGUCCCUGCAGUCUCCACUUCCUGGAUUCCUGAAUGCUUCCGAAGCUUCCCUGACCUUGACUCUCUCCCCAACAGCUUCGUAAGCCUGUAAUCUCCUGCAUUAAUCUCCUCUCCAUUGAAGGACCUGGAGGGUUUCCAUUUUCCCAGGCAAACCCUGUCUGAGACGUAUCCCCACUAGCACUGCAUAAGAGCUCCCAGGGCCCCACCUCCUCACCACACAGUGCUUGUCAACCCUUCGGUCAGUUGCGGAAGUGAACAAUAGUAUCUCGUUGUAGUUUUAGUUUCAGAAUUGUGCGUGUAGAAUUGAUGUUUUGUUUGUAUGUUUAACAGCCAUUUGUAUUUUCUUUUUUAUAAACCAGGUUCGUAUCCUUUGAUUAUUUUUCUGUUGUGUUAUUGAUGGGUGUUGUCACCUACAUGGAUCAUACCUGUUAGCACACUUAAAAAUUUUUUUAAAAAAUAUCUUUUUAAAAAAUUAAUAAGAAAUAGCACUGUAUGACAUAAAUGGCAAAACUUUUCUCUGGUUUUCAGUUUGUCUUUUGACUUACUUUAUAUGUACUUCUUGACAUGAAGAUUAAAACAUUUUCAUGUAAUCCAACGUUUUUUCUUUUAUGGAUUUCUUUUUUUUUUGGAGACAGAGUCUCACCCUGUGGCCCAGGCUGGAGUGCAGUGGUAUGAUCUCGGCUCACUGCAACCUCUACUUCCCAGGUUCAAGCGAUUCUCA